GGACUGCUACCAAAUCGUCCGCUUGGCAGGUUUAAUGAAAACCCUGAAUGCGGAAGGUCGCGGGUUCAAAUCCCGCCCGGUCCACCA
RNAcentral lists this transfer RNA (87 nucleotides) under Candidatus Bathyarchaeota archaeon. RNAcentral describes it as "tRNA-Leu". Lineage: Archaea; Thermoproteati; Candidatus Bathyarchaeota. The record is from RNAcentral.